This 1048-nucleotide long non-coding RNA is filed under the name Lonchura striata (white-rumped munia). RNAcentral describes it as "domestica (Bengalese finch) lncRNA (ENSLSDG00000015455.1)". The record is from RNAcentral. Lineage: Eukaryota; Metazoa; Chordata; Aves; Passeriformes; Estrildidae.
UGCCUGUAGAACGUUGAGGAUUUGGAGAAGGGUGCGGGGCUGUGCCGAGACAGGGGGUUGGGAGUAGGGCACGCCGAGUGGCUCAGGGAUGUUGUCCUCAAGCCCUGCCCGUAGGCAGGCUGGUAGGUCAGGCUGCUGGCUCCCAAGGGCAUGGGGGACUGCCGGGCGAAGCCCAGCGGGCUGUGCCUCUGGAUGGAGAACUUGGGAGCGUGGCUCCGGAACUGCUUGUAGUGCUGGAUGAUGUCAGCGUCAGAGGGCGCGAUGCUGCUGGCGUUGUCGAUGUCGUAGUGCUCGAUCUCGGGCUCGGGGGAUGCCAGCGGGGCGCUGGGGAUCGUCUCCGUGGCGUGUGGGAUGUCCGUCUCGUCGUAGAUGAGAUAAGGGUUUUCCCUUUCGAUGAUGUCGGGUUUCGGGUUCCCUUCGGGCUGCUUCCUGACGGUCAUGUCAUCACCGUAGGGCGGGAUGUUGUCAGGGUCAUCAAACGCCACAUUCUCGCUCCCUUUCUUCUUCUUCUUCUGCUUCGUUUUCUUCUCCUCUUUCGGCCCCUUCGACUUCUUCCCUCGGCACUGGUUGCAGAGGAUGAGGCUGAGGACCAGCAGCGCCAGGAGCGUGGCGCAGCUACCCACGAUGGCCGGCACGGCCCAGAGCGGCAAGGACAGCUCGGCGGCGUGUGCGGACGGCAGGCACACGUGGCCGCCGUCGACGCCCGCCCUACACUCGUGGCCGGGAGCACACAGGACCCCCAGGCAGGCCACCAGGGUCUCACACGUGCGUCCCGCGUACGCCUCGGGGCAGCUGCAGGUGAAGGUGGCGUGGGGCCCGGGCUCGCAGCUGCCCCCGUUGAGGCAGGGGUGAGAGGCGCAGGCGCCCGGGGGCACGCACUGGUAGGCGAACCAGCGGUUGAUGCACAUCAGCUCGCCCCAGCACGGAUUGCUGGCGCACACGUCGGGGCCGCGGCAGCCCAUCUUCACCGAGGGGUCUGUUCUGGACAGCGUGGCGAGGCUGUGCUUGCCGGAGAAGGGAAGGCUCUCCCCGCCGUACUUGAUGUAGG